This 274-nucleotide ribosomal RNA is filed under the name uncultured bacterium. RNAcentral describes it as "partial 16S ribosomal RNA". It matches the Rfam family "Bacterial small subunit ribosomal RNA", at positions 523 to 796 of the family's 1533-position model. The record is from RNAcentral.
AUACGAAGGGAGCUAGCGUUGUUCGGAAUUACUGGGCGUAAAGCGCACGUAGGCGGAUUUGUUAGUCAGGGGUGAAAUCCCGGGGCCCAACCUCGGAACUGCCUUUGAUACUGCAAGUCUGGAGUCCGGAAGAGGUGGGUGGAAUUCCUAGUGUAGAGGUGAAAUUCGUAGAUAUUAGGAAGAACACCGGUGGCGAAGGCGGCCCACUGGUCCGGUACUGACGCUGAGGUGCGAAAGCGUGGGGAGCAAACAGGAUUAGAUACCCCGGUAGUCC